This 495-nucleotide ribosomal RNA is filed under the name uncultured bacterium. Its description in RNAcentral is "partial 16S ribosomal RNA". It matches the Rfam family "Bacterial small subunit ribosomal RNA", at positions 28 to 507 of the family's 1533-position model. The record is from RNAcentral.
GAUGAACGCUGGCGGCGUGCCUAAUACAUGCAAGUAGAACGCUGAAGGAGGAGCUUGCUCUUCUGGAUGAGUUGCGAACGGGUGAGUAACGCGUAGGUAACCUGCCUGGUAGCGGGGGAUAACUAUUGGAAACGAUAGCUAAUACCGCAUGACAACAGUUAUUGCAUGAUAACUGUUUAAAAGGGGCAACUGCUCCACUACCAGAUGGACCUGCGUUGUAUUAGCUAGUUGGUGAGGUAACGGCUCACCAAGGCGACGAUACAUAGCCGACCUGAGAGGGUGAUCGGCCACACCGGGACUGAGACACGGCCCAGACUCCUACGGGAGGCAGCAGUAGGGAAUCUUCGGCAAUGGACGGAAGUCUGACCGAGCAACGCCGCGUGAGUGAAGAAGGUUUUCGGAUCGUAAAGCUCUGUUGUAAGAGAAGAACGAGUGUGAGAGUGGAAAGUUCACACUGUGACGGUAUCUUACCAGAAAGGGACGGCUAACUACGUG